Molecule: unclassified non-coding RNA, 1132 nt
Filed under: Hevea brasiliensis (rubber tree)
Lineage: Eukaryota; Viridiplantae; Streptophyta; Magnoliopsida; Malpighiales; Euphorbiaceae
Source: RNAcentral
AGAGACGACUGCAUGAUUGACACGGCACACAUUCCGAUGACAAUUUGUUGAACCUAUAUCCAUCCAUUUUCAUUAUAUAACUAUUACAUAUCUGUGUACACUUGAUUUGAGAUCCAGUAGAAUCAACACAUGGAGAAAUCAUCACCGGAAAAGCUUAUACUGGUUACUCACGAAGCCGGCGGGAUUGCGUGUAUCACAAUCAACCGACCUCACUCCCUGAAUUCUCUCACUAAGUCAAUGUUGACCGAUCUUGCUCGGAUUUUCAAGUCUCUGGACGCAGAUGAUUCGGUUCGGGUCAUUAUACUCACCGGAUCGGGUCGAUCGUUCUGCUCCGGUAUUGACCUGACGGCGGCGGAAGACGUGUUUAAGGGUGACUUCAGGGAUAUGGAGAUUGAUCCGGUGUUCCAAAUGGAGCAAUGUAGGAAGCCAAUUAUUGGGGCUGUUGCUGGAUUUGCUGUUACUGGCGGUUUUGAGAUUUCUCUCGCUUGUGAUAUCUUGGUUGCCUCCAAAGAUGCUAAAUUUUUGGAUACUCAUGCUAGGUUUGGGAUAUUUCCUUCUUGGGGUCUAUCACAGAAACUAUCUCGAAUUAUUGGACCCAGCCGAGCUCGUGAAGUGUCCUUAACUGCAACACCUAUCAACGCAGAACAGGCUGAGAGAUGGGGCUUGGUAAAUUAUGUUGUUGACAGAAGUGAACUUUUGAACAAAGCUAGGCAAAUUGCAGAAGCCAUCAUCAAGAACAACCAAGACUUGGUUUUGAGGUACAAGGCAGUUAUCAAUGAUGGGUUCAAACAUGACUUGACCCGAGCCCUUGCUCUUGAGAAGGAGAGGGCUCACGAGUAUUAUGAUGGAAUGGGCAAAGAUUACUUUAAGAAAAUGCAAGAGUUCAUUGCAGGACGGAAUACAAGCAAACCUUCAUCAAAAUUAUAGAUUUAUCACGUGUAAUUUAUUUUCUGCUUUUGACAUAAACUAGUCUCGAGCAGUUUUUUUGGUCAAAAAGUGAAAUAAAAAUGAAAUGUUGCUCCAAUUAUUCUCAUUUUACACUACAAUGGUUUAAUAGAGCACUAAGUUAAAGAUGUUAUUUUAACUUCAGUUGAGUGGUGUGGUGUUGAUGUUAGCAAGCGACAAUCAUAAU